This 165-nucleotide unclassified non-coding RNA is filed under the name uncultured Ascomycota. RNAcentral's name for it is "sequence contains ITS2". Lineage: Eukaryota; Fungi; Ascomycota. The record is from RNAcentral.
CAAACCUCAAGCGUCUGCUUGCUGUUGGAGCAUUGCGCCAUCCCUUUAGGGAUCGCAAGCCCUGAAUUAUAGUGGCGGAGCUGCUGUAGACUCUGAGCGUAGUACUACUAUUCGCUUCUGGAAUCUCGGUGGUUGCCUGCCGUAAAACCCACUAUAUUUUCUCUU